GGGUGAUUAGCUCAGCUGGGAGAGCAUCUGCCUUACAAGCAGAGGGUCGGCGGUUCGAUCCCGUCAUCACCCU
This 73-nucleotide transfer RNA is filed under the name Pseudomonas aeruginosa. RNAcentral describes it as "tRNA-Val". It matches the Rfam family "tRNA". Rfam says of the family: Transfer RNA (tRNA) molecules are approximately 80 nucleotides in length. Their secondary structure includes four short double-helical elements and three loops (D, anti-codon, and T loops). The record is from RNAcentral. Lineage: Bacteria; Pseudomonadati; Pseudomonadota; Gammaproteobacteria; Pseudomonadales; Pseudomonadaceae.